This 715-nucleotide long non-coding RNA is filed under the name Homo sapiens (human). RNAcentral describes it as "HSALNT0404411". Lineage: Eukaryota; Metazoa; Chordata; Mammalia; Primates; Hominidae. The record is from RNAcentral.
CAUUUCUGACUCUCUAGUUCUUAUCUUCUUUUUUUCCUUAGAGAGAGCGAGAGAGAGAGAGAGAGAUCAUGCUAUGCUGGCGCAGUCAACCCAAGCUCAAGCUGUCUCCAGCACUGCUUGUGAGCCGGGCCCACGUUGCUGCCCAGGGACUCGGUGGUGAGGGAGGUGUGAUGUGUGAGUCUGCUGGGGCAGCCCUAGCGAGGCACACAGAGGCCACCUGGGAACCGACGGUGUCCACUGAUGGACGUUUUCCUGGGCUGAAGUAUUUCAGAUGCCCAGUGUACUCCCAGCCCUCACAGCGGUCAGUUCUGCUUCACGGGUUUCCCACAUGAUUUGGCUAAGACGUCAGCCGGCAAAGACGCUUGGGUUGGCUUUAGACAUUACGAAUAAAAGGAAGCUGCGGGAGGCGGUCAAAGUCUGAGACAUGACAGGUGACACAGGAGGGGACGGGAGGGGGGAUUCGGCCGCGGGGACCCCAUCCAGGAUUCCAGUAGCAGACAUUCCUCUUUCCUUCUUUUAUUACCCACAAGGUCAAAGCUGAAAUCACAGGGGGCUGCGUUGCCUUUUGAUGGGAGAGCCAGAGGCUGCAUUCCGAAGAUUGCACGAUGCCAGCUCCCAACUGCGAGGGGGCAGAUUUGUUGGAAUUUCUCAAAUCCAGUCUUUGAUACAUGCGUUGUUCCUUCAAUUGCUAAUAAACGGUCUUGGGGAGAAAAAA